CAUAUUUACAUGCUUUCAUCUUUAGUAUCAUUUCUGAAUUGAUUCCUUCUGCUCUACAUAUAUUGCUGCUUCUGUUAUAUCUUCUGAGAGCAACCGGUGUUGCAGAAUUGAAGUGUGCCUGUGGUGAUGAAGAUGACUUAUAUGCAUCAGAAUUAAUUCGCAUAUAACUUGAUUCUUCAGCCAUGUCACCUGAAUACGGGAUACUAUUUUCUUGGUUUUGAUGAGUUUCAUAAACCAUAAAUCACAUCUCCGAGUUUCCUUCAUGGCCACAGAAAAUCUCAGCUUCAGCAGGUAAUUAUUAUGUUUAGGGCCACAAUAAUCUGAGUGAGAAACCCAACACCACAGAUAUUCGAAAGGAUAAGGUUGGCAUUUAUUUGGAGGAAAUUAGAUCAAACAUGUCAUCUUUAUGGAGGGCAAUACCCCUUCGCAUCAUUAUCACGCUCCUCCUUCUUGCCGGGGUACUGAUAGCAAUGGCUUUACGUCAUGAACGGAACCUACUCAUUAUCAUCGAAAGCCUGCUGG
Molecule: long non-coding RNA, 522 nt
Organism: Neltuma alba
Lineage: Eukaryota; Viridiplantae; Streptophyta; Magnoliopsida; Fabales; Fabaceae
Exons: 4
Source: RefSeq, a predicted model, not a curated record